Molecule: ribosomal RNA, 492 nt
Filed under: uncultured bacterium
Lineage: Bacteria
Description: partial 16S ribosomal RNA
Rfam family: Bacterial small subunit ribosomal RNA
Source: RNAcentral
AGUGAACGCUGGCGGUAGGCCUAACACAUGCAAGUCGAACGGCAGCACAGUAAGAGCUUGCUCUUACGGGUGGCGAGUGGCGGACGGGUGAGGAAUACAUCGGAAUCUACUUUUUCGUGGGGGAUAACGUAGGGAAACUUACGCUAAUACCGCAUACGACCUACGGGCGAAAGCAGGGGAUCUUCGGACCUUGCGCGAUUGAAUGAGCCGAUGUCGGAUUAGCUAGUUGGCGGGGUAAAGGCCCACCAAGGCGACGAACCGUAGCUGGUCUGAGAGGAUGAUCAGCCACACUGGAACUGAGACACGGUCCAGACUCCUACGGGAGGCAGCAGUGGGGAAUAUUGGACAAUGGGCGCAAGCCUGAUCCAGCCAUACCGCGUGGGUGAAGAAGGCCUUCGGGUUGUAAAGCCCUUUUGUUGGGAAAGAAAAGCAGCAGGUUAAUACCCCGCUGUUCUGACGGUACCCAAAGAAUAAGCACCGGCUAACUUCGUG